This is a long non-coding RNA of Beta vulgaris subsp. vulgaris (sugar beet), 593 nucleotides long. RefSeq lists it as uncharacterized. The transcript is spliced from 3 exons. The record is from RefSeq and is a predicted model, not a curated record. NCBI's taxonomy places the organism in Eukaryota, Viridiplantae, Streptophyta, Magnoliopsida, Caryophyllales, Amaranthaceae.
GGUUGAACGGCCACAGAGUUCGUCGAGAGAAGCUUUUGUGGAAAUAUGUUGAGGGCCCGCAACAACAAGGAGGCACGGAGUGCGGUUAUUUUGUGAUGCGGUACAUUUUUGACGUACUCGCUUCAUAUUUUGGUUCGUUGGAUAUGGACAAAGUUGCUCAAACCUUUACCAAAGAUCCUUAUACGGAGGAUCAAAUCAAUGAGGUGAAAAAUAAGUGGGCAAGAUACUUUGUUGAUGAGUGCAUUGCGUAGGUUAGUUAGUUUAUGUUAAUAUUUUUUUUUUUGUUCUAACUUUAGACGAACAUAUACAUUAUUGCAACUUGUACAAUCAACUUUGUAGUGAUGGAUUAUCAUGAUAUAUAUAUAUGUUGGAUUGCGCUAAAUAUUUUUGUUGGAUUAUUAUGGAAUUGUAUUUAUGAUGUUGGUUAGGUUGAAUAUGAUGUUGGUUUGUUGGCUUGAAUAUUGGAUGAUGUAUGUUGGAGAUCAUGGUGGUUGUUUGAUGGAUUUUGGAUUUGCUUGGAUGGUGGAUUCGGAGAUGUUAUUGGUUGUUGUACAGGUUAAUUAAGUCCCUAUUAUGGGUUUAUCCAAUUUACA